ACUCUAGCGAGACUGCCGGUAAUAAACCGGAAGGAAGGUGGGGAGUGACGUCAAAUCAUCAUGCCCCUUAUGACCUGGGCUACACACGUGCUACAAUGGUUGGUACAACGAGUUGCGAGUCGGUGACGGCGAGCUAAUCUCUUAAAGCCAAUCUCAGUUCGGAUUGUAGGCUGCAACUCGCCUACAUGAAGUUGGAAUCGCUAGUAAUCGCGGAUCAGCACGCCGCGGUGAAUACGUUCCCGGGCCUU
Molecule: ribosomal RNA, 248 nt
Filed under: uncultured Streptococcus sp.
Lineage: Bacteria; Bacillati; Bacillota; Bacilli; Lactobacillales; Streptococcaceae
Description: partial 16S ribosomal RNA
Rfam family: Bacterial small subunit ribosomal RNA
Source: RNAcentral